This 64-nucleotide transfer RNA is filed under the name Opiliones sp. MT-2014. RNAcentral describes it as "tRNA-Trp". Lineage: Eukaryota; Metazoa; Arthropoda; Arachnida; Opiliones. The record is from RNAcentral.
AGUGCUUUAAGUUAAAUGAAACUAUAAACCUUCAAAGUUUAAAAUAAAGUAAGUUUAAGCUCUA